RNAcentral lists this ribosomal RNA (492 nucleotides) under uncultured bacterium. Its description in RNAcentral is "partial 16S ribosomal RNA". It matches the Rfam family "Bacterial small subunit ribosomal RNA", at positions 29 to 507 of the family's 1533-position model. The record is from RNAcentral.
AGUGAACGCUGGCGGUAGGCCUAACACAUGCAAGUCGAACGGCAGCACAGUAAGAGCUUGCUCUUACGGGUGGCGAGUGGCGGACGGGUGAGGAAUACAUCGGAAUCUACUUUUUCGGGGGGGAUAACGUAGGGAAACUUACGCUAAUACCGCAUACGACCUACCGGGAAAAGCAGGGGAUCUUUGGACCUUUCCCGAUUGUAAUAGCCAUUGUCGGAUUAGCUAGUUUGCGGGGUAAAGGCCCACCAAGGCGACGAUCCGUAACUGGUCUGAGAGGAUGAUCCGCCACGCUGGAACUGAGAGAAGGUCCAGACUCCGACGGGAGGCAGCAGUGGGGAAUAUUGGACAAUGGGAGAAAGCCUGAUACAGCCAUACCGCGUGAGUGAAGAAGGCCUUCGGGUUUUAAAGCCCUUUUGUUGGGAAAGAAAAGCAGCAGGUUAAUACCGCGCUGUUUUGACGGUACCCAAAGAAUAAGCACCGGCUAACUUCGUG